GAUGAAGAACGUAGCGAAAUGCGAUACGUAAUGUGAAUUGCAGAAUUCAGUGAAUCAUCGAGUCUUUGAACGCACAUUGCGCCCCCUGGUAUUCCGGGGGGCAUGCCUGUCCGAGCCUCAUUGCUGCCCUCAAGCACGGCUUGUGUGUUGGGCCUCCGUCCUCCUCCCGGGGGACGGGCCCGAAAGGCAGCGGCGGCACCGCGUCCGGUCCUCGAGCGUAUGGGGCUUCGUCACCCGCUCUUGUAGGCCCGGCCGGCGCUUGCCGACACAUCAAUCUUUUUUCCAGGUUGACCUCGGAUCAGGUAGGGAUACCCGCUGAACUUAAGCAUAUCAAUAAGCGGAGGA
Molecule: unclassified non-coding RNA, 345 nt
Filed under: soil metagenome
Description: partial contains 5.8S ribosomal RNA, internal transcribed spacer 2, and large subunit ribosomal RNA
Rfam family: 5.8S ribosomal RNA (bases 1-120)
Source: RNAcentral